GGCGCAGUGGUCUAAUGGUAUGACUCCUACCAUGUAUUUUCCUGCUGUUAAAGGCAGAGGGUGGGGGAUCUGGGUUCAAUUCCUAGCUGAGCUA
Tirmania nivea is the source of this 94-nucleotide non-coding RNA. NCBI's taxonomy places the organism in Eukaryota, Fungi, Ascomycota, Pezizomycetes, Pezizales, Pezizaceae. The record is from the annotation of a GenBank genome assembly.